GGCGGUAUAGCUCAGUUGGCUAGAGCAUGCGGUUCAUACCCGCAGUGUCGAUGGUUCAAGUCCGUCUACCGCUACCA
This 77-nucleotide transfer RNA is filed under the name Clostridia bacterium. RNAcentral's name for it is "tRNA-Met". It matches the Rfam family "tRNA". From Rfam's summary of the family: Transfer RNA (tRNA) molecules are approximately 80 nucleotides in length. Their secondary structure includes four short double-helical elements and three loops (D, anti-codon, and T loops). Further hydrogen bonds mediate the characteristic L-shaped molecular structure. tRNAs have two regions of fundamental functional importance: the anti-codon, which is responsible for specific mRNA codon recognition, and the 3' end, to which the tRNAs corresponding amino acid is attached (by aminoacyl-tRNA synthetases). tRNAs cope with the degeneracy of the genetic code in two manners: having more than one tRNA (with a specific anti-codon) for a particular amino acid; and 'wobble' base-pairing, i.e. permitting non-standard base-pairing at the 3rd anti-codon position. The record is from RNAcentral. Lineage: Bacteria; Bacillati; Bacillota; Clostridia.